RNAcentral lists this ribosomal RNA (687 nucleotides) under uncultured organism. RNAcentral describes it as "bacterial SSU rRNA". It matches the Rfam family "Bacterial small subunit ribosomal RNA", at positions 61 to 795 of the family's 1533-position model. The record is from RNAcentral.
GUCGAACGGGCUCUUCAGAGCUAGUGGCGGACGGGUGAGUAACGCGUGAGGAUCUGCCUUCAGGAGGGGGAUAACGACUGGAAACGGUCGCUAAUACCGCAUAUGCCUACGGGUGAAAGAUUUAUCGCCUGGAGAUGAACUCGCGUCAGAUUAGCUAGUUGGUGGGGUAAGAGCCUACCAAGGCGACGAUCUGUAGCUGGUCUGAGAGGAUGAUCAGCCACACUGGGACUGAGACACGGCCCAGACUCCUACGGGAGGCAGCAGUGGGGAAUUUUCCGCAAUGGGCGCAAGCCUGACGGAGCAAGACCGCGUGCGGGAUGACGGCCUAAUGGUUGUAAACCGCUUUUCUCUGGGAAGAUGAUGACGGUACCAGAGGAAUCAGCCUCGGCUAACUCCGUGCCAGCAGCCGCGGUAAUACGGAGGAGGCAAGCGUUAUCCGGAAUUAUUGGGCGUAUAGCGUCCGUAGGUGGUUAUUCAAGUCUGCUGUCAAAGCGUGGGGCUUAACUCCAUAGAGGCAGUGGAAACUGGAUGACUUGAGUGCGGUAGGGGUCGAGGGACUUCCCAGUGUAGCGGUGAAAUGCGUAGAUCUUGGGAAGAACACCAGUGGCGAAAGCGCUCGACUGGGCCUGCUCUGACACUGAGGGACGAAAGCGUGGGGAGCGAACAGGAUUUGAUACCCUGGUAGUC